CAUUCUGAGGGCAGUGAAGAAUGAGGUUCCCGUCUGUAUCUCGAGUCAAAGUUACAGAGUUCACAGUUUCUACUGUCACUGUGUCAGAAUCCUCUUCAACUGUGCUCAUACUCAAAUCUGUAAAACAGAUGGAUCAGCUAUAUCCCUUCCCACAGAAACAAGUCGCCUUCCCUUAGCCACCAGCAUCACUUUCAUGUUAUCCGGACUGUUUCUGCCCCGUGCUCCUACUGCUGCAGCACUGAAAAAGUAACAGCAUUACAUAGUAAGGCUUGUAAGAACACGUGUAUGCUAGCGGUAUGCUGAUUACACCCUAGAUUCUGUGCUUUGUCAACCAGAGAAAUGACAAAACCAGAAUUCAUAGGUUUACCUUUAGGAAAUCAGCCUCUAAAAGCAUUCCCAAUGAAAAGCAGAAAGGAUGAGAUCCCUAUACCCAUUGAGUCAAUUUCAAGGGCAGUUUCUCAACCCAGUUGCCCCUCAUCAGACGGUCAAACAUUUUUGCAAAUAGGUUGAACUAUGCUAGUGGUUCUAUGAACUAUAGACUUAGGUACACGUAACAUGACCCAGGGGGUACAUCAAUACAUUACCAUAAAUAUUACCAGUAUUUUUUCCUUCCUUCAUUAUUUACUAGAGGAGAAGGGAGGAAGAAAGAGAGGAAACAUCCAUUGGUUGCCUGUCUGGAAGUGUCCCCUGACUGGGAGCUGAACCUUUUCCUUUGUGGGAUGACGCCUAACCAAGCAAGCCAUAUUGGACUGGGCACCAUUAUCUGUUCUUUGUAAUAAUUAACACCUGGGAGCAACUGACAUCUUGCUCCUUCCAUAUGUCAUCAAUUUGGCUCAAAUAAACUCUUAUAAAAAUUCAAAAAGAAAAAAACCAAAACACUGCUCUUUACAUACCAUAUUGCAUCUCAAAGUGUUAAAAAUAUGGUAUCUGUGAACAACACUGACUAGGGAUCUGUGUGGAGGGGGUGGGGGUCCCAAACAGGCUAGAAAAGGUCACUUACAAGCAAGCUUUUAAAUGAAACAUGGAACUUUUAAAGUCUGAAAUGAUUGGGUUUUGAAGGUUUCUUUUAACAACCUUCUCAUCCUCAUCCCAAAGAGUCAACCAAAAGUUCAAAAGCACACUCAUUGAGAUUUGAGGUUGAAGGAUGUUUCAGCAGAAACUAAGGAUUAAAAUUCCAAUUUUUGGAGUAUUCUAAUAACACCUCUCCAGGAUGGUUAUUAUUUGAGAAUUGCUGUACGUAAGUCUGCAGUGAAAAAGGUAUAGGUCUUGCUGGAGAAACCUUCAGUCAGCUAUUGUAUUUCAUGUUGUUCUUAUUUGACCCAUCGAUUUUUUUAAAAAGCUGGUUUGUAUAUCUACGGCAGAAGACAGAAAUUUAAUGUUAAAAAAAUACAAACCCUAAAAUCAUUUAUAAAUUUACCAAAACCAGAGUUCACCGUCUUUGGUGUAUGGCUGUGAGAGAGACUAUAGUGGAUAAGCAAUUUUAUGUCCAGUUUUUUAGAAUUCAUUCAUACUGAGAUGUGUGAAGGAAACCAAGAUGGAUAUUUAACUGAAAUUUUCUGUAUGGUUUAAAACUUACACUGCGCAAAAAAAAAUGUAACAUUAUUUACCAGUUACUCUAUCACUGGAUAUUUCCCAAUUUUUCAUUUCCUUAAAACAUACUGAAACACUUAUACACUCUAUUUCCUUAAACAGUAUCAGUGAAAGUUAGAUCAAAGAACAUGAAAAUAAAUGAAGUCUUAAGUCAUAUUACCAUCUAUUCUCCAGAAAGAUGCAUAAAUUUAUAUCUCAAUCACUGAUGUGUAAACUCUACUCCUGGUAGCCUUGCCAGUAUUUUUAUUUAAGAAGACACUGCAAAGCAAAAAACAGCAUGACUGCUCAUUUGAUAGGUGCAAAAUGGUUACUGGUUUAGCAUUUAAUUAAUGUCAUCUUGGGACCCAAGCCAAUCUAAAACUUUGGGGGGAAUAAUAAAGGUGGAUCAGAGAAGACAUGGUGAGAAAGUAGAACACGGAAAAAGGAAUAUGAAAUAGCCAGAUGAAAGAAAGUACAGUUGUUACCCUGCUAUGUGCAAGUAGAGGGUUCCUAUGCAACCUUUAGUAAGCUAAAGUGGUGUAAAAGCAGAAAAACAAUUACCAUUAAUUUACAUGAACAUUCUUUUUAGCAUUCCCAGACCCAGAAAAUAACCACCAAAUCAUACCAAAUACAGGCGUAUCUUGUUUUAUUAUAUUUCGUAGAUACUGCUCUUAAAAAAAAACAAAAACAAAAGAAAACAAGGUUUGUGGUGACUAUGUUGAGCAAUUUGAUCGGUGCCAUUUUUGCCAACAGUAAUAUGUUUACUUCAGGUCAGUGUCGCAUUGUGGUAAUUCUUGAAAUGUUUCAAACCUUUUCAUUAUUAUAUUUGUUAUGGUGAUCUGUAAUCAGUGAUCUCUAAUGUUACUACUGAAUUGUUUCUGGGGUGCCAUCAAGUGUACCAUGAUAAGAGAGCAAACUUAAUCGAUAAAUGUGUGUUCUGACUGUUCCACCACCUGGGUGUUCCCCCCCCUUUUCCCUCUCCUCAGGCCUCCCUAUUCAGGGACACAAUAUUGAAAUGAGGACAAUUACUAACCUCUACAACGGCUGCUAAGUGUUCAAAGGAAAAAAGUGUAGCAGAUUUUGGAAUUUUGGAGACAUAGAAUGAAUACCCAGGACUGGAAUUCCAAUUUACAAUGUUGAACCAUAGGUAAUGGAAAUUGGAGGAAACAUGUAUCCGGAAAUUACCUGUUUUUCUAGGAAACAAGCACUCAGCAGAGUGCAUUCCAAGACUACAGGGGUGCCUCUGGGCCCCAAAAGGCUGGAAGCGGAGUGUCUCUCUGAGUCUUUUGCAGUGAUGGAAAGACAAGACAGCGUUAAUAGGGGACCAAAGUGGUAAUUGGCACAAAUCAGAAAUGUUGAGUCUUUUCACAGGAUUCUAAAGGGAUUAAAAAGAUUAUGAUUUUGGAAAAUAUUUGUGAUAGAAUCUGAAAAAAAUUGUCACAUAUUUCUUUCUACAUAUUUUAAAAUAUUACUGACAAAAGCACUUGCAAGCUAUGGUGUGUGCAGAAAAGGAAUGUUGUCUGAGUAUAAUAGACAUUCCCAUAUUUAUUAUAUUACUAAUAAUGUGAAAUGUCCAUAGAAAUUACCGGAAUUCUGCAUGUUAGUAAUUAGUAACAUAGAGGUUACCUGAACAUCUGGGCAGAAAAUUGAAGUACCCACCAGUAAUUCAAAUAGGACAGAGUCCUGUUCUGCAUUUCUUAGUUGACCAAACAUUUUCAACUUUUGUUCUGUCACAGCUUACAUAGCAAGGGCAGAACUAAUUUGAUCAACAAAGAAUUUCUUCUAGGGGGGCCUUCUUGUGUUAUACCUGGUUAACAUCUGAACAAUCAUUUUCUGUGAAAAAUGACAGCUGGAAGCUUACACAGAGUUCUCUCAGUGACUCUUGGUUUAGGUUUAUUUGGUUCUACAUAAACAUUCCAUGAGAGCUUCUACUAGUGAUGAGGCCUAUUCAUCAAUGAAUUAUUUUGUAAUCAGGCAUUUGCAAUGUAUCAGAAGUACACAGUUGUCCAUCUGCUGUGCCAUUUCCAUUAACAUUAUAAACUGUAGUCCAUUUGGACUCUCUUGAA
This is a long non-coding RNA of Phyllostomus discolor (pale spear-nosed bat), 3635 nucleotides long. RefSeq lists it as uncharacterized. Lineage: Eukaryota; Metazoa; Chordata; Mammalia; Chiroptera; Phyllostomidae. The transcript has 3 exons. The record is from RefSeq and is a predicted model, not a curated record.